This 30-nucleotide non-coding RNA is filed under the name Mus musculus (house mouse). The record is from RNAcentral. Lineage: Eukaryota; Metazoa; Chordata; Mammalia; Rodentia; Muridae.
UGCGUUGAGCUCAUUAUCCAGAAAAGCACA